GAUGAACGCUGGCGGCGUGCCUAAUACAUGCAAGUCGAGCGAACAGACGAGGAGCUUGCUCCUCUGACGUUAGCGGCGGACGGGUGAGUAACACGUGGAUAACCUACCUAUAAGACUGGGAUAACUUCGGGAAACCGGAGCUAAUACCGGAUAAUAUAUUGAACCGCAUGGUUCAAUAGUGAAAGACGGUUUUGCUGUCACUUAUAGAUGGAUCCGCGCCGCAUUAGCUAGUUGGUAAGUUAACGGCUUACCAAGGCAACGAUGCGUAGCCGACCUGAGAGGGUGAUCGGCGACACUGGAACUGAGACACGGUCCAGACUCCUACGGGAGGCAGCAGUAGGGAAUCUUCCGCAAUGGGCGAAAGCCUGACGGAGCAACGCCGCGUGAGUGAUGAAGGUCUUCGGAUCGUAAAACUCUGUUAUUAGGGAAGAACAAAUGUGUAAGUAACUAUGCACGUCUUGACGGUACCUAAUCAGAAAGCCACGGCUAACUACGUG
This 497-nucleotide ribosomal RNA is filed under the name uncultured bacterium. Its description in RNAcentral is "partial 16S ribosomal RNA". It matches the Rfam family "Bacterial small subunit ribosomal RNA", at positions 28 to 507 of the family's 1533-position model. The record is from RNAcentral.